This 371-nucleotide ribosomal RNA is filed under the name uncultured bacterium. Its description in RNAcentral is "bacterial SSU rRNA". It matches the Rfam family "Bacterial small subunit ribosomal RNA", at positions 527 to 896 of the family's 1533-position model. The record is from RNAcentral.
GUAGGGUGCGAGCGUUAAUCGGAAUUACUGGGCGUAAAGCGUGCGCAGGCGGUUUUGUAAGCCAGAUGUGAAAUCCCCGGGCUUAACCUGGGAAUUGCGCUUGAAACUAGGCUGCUUGAGUGUGGCAGAGGGGGGUGGAAUUCCACGUGUAGCAGUGAAAUGCGUAGAGAUGUGGAGGAACACCGAUGGCGAAGGCAGCCCCCUGGGUCAACACUGACGCUCAGGCACGAAAGCGUGGGGAGCAAACAGGAUUAGAUACCCUGGUAGUCCACGCCCUAAACGAUGCGAACUAGGUGUUGGGGAAGGAGACUUCCUUAGUACCGCAGCUAACGCGUGAAGUUCGCCGCCUGGGGAGUACGGUCGCAAGAUUA